CGCACAGCUAUGUCGAUUAAAUCAACUAAUCGAUUAGUCGACAAAAUCAUGUAAGUGGUUAGUCAAGUAAGAAUUUCUUUAGUCGAGGACAGCCCUAAGACCUUCAC
This is a long non-coding RNA of Etheostoma spectabile (orangethroat darter), 107 nucleotides long. RefSeq lists it as uncharacterized. The record is from RefSeq and is a predicted model, not a curated record. NCBI's taxonomy places the organism in Eukaryota, Metazoa, Chordata, Actinopteri, Perciformes, Percidae. The transcript has 3 exons.